RNAcentral lists this ribosomal RNA (365 nucleotides) under uncultured bacterium. RNAcentral's name for it is "bacterial SSU rRNA". It matches the Rfam family "Bacterial small subunit ribosomal RNA", at positions 29 to 388 of the family's 1533-position model. The record is from RNAcentral.
ACGAACGCUGGCGGCGUGCUUAACACAUGCAAGUGGAGCGACGAACCAGGCUUCGGCCUGGGGCAGAGCCGCGAACGGGUGAGUAACACGUGGGUAACCUGCCCCGAUGACUGGGACAACCCGGGGAAACCCGGGCUAAUACCGGAUGUGCUGCAUUCGCAUCAGCGAGUGUAGGAAAGGAAGCUUCGGCCUCCGCAUCGGGAUGGGCUCGCGGCCCAUUAGCUUGUUGGUGAGGAACGGCUCACCAAGGCUUCGAUGGGUAGCUGGUCUGAGAGGACGAUCAGCCACACUGGGACUGAGACACGGCCCAGACUCCUACGGGAGGCAGCAGUGGGGAAUCUUGCGCAAUGCGCGAAAGCGUGACG